Molecule: ribosomal RNA, 253 nt
Filed under: uncultured bacterium
Lineage: Bacteria
Description: partial 16S ribosomal RNA
Rfam family: Bacterial small subunit ribosomal RNA
Source: RNAcentral
GACAGAGGGUGCAAACGUUGUUCGGAAUUACUGGGCGUAAAGCGCGUGUAGGCGGCUAAGUAAGUCGGGCGUGAAAUCCCACGGCUCAACCGUGGAAGUGCACUCGAAACUGCAUAGCUAGAGUCCUGGAGAGGAAGGUGGAAUGCUCGGUGUAGAGGUGAAAUUCGUAGAUAUCAAGCGGAACACCGGUGGCGAAGGCGGCCUUCUGGACAGUGACUGACGCUGAGACGCGAAAGCGUGGGGAGCAAACAGG